AUUGAACGCUGGCGGCAGGCCUAACACAUGCAAGUCGAACGAGUGGCGGACGGGUGAGUAAUGUCUGGGAAACUGCCUGAUGGAGGGGGAUAACUACUGGAAACGGUAGCUAAUACCGCAUACCAUCAGAUUUGCCCAGAUGGGAUUAGCUUGUUGGUGGGGUAACGGUUCACCAAGGUGACGACCCCGAGCUGGUCUGAGAGGAUGACCAGCCACAUGGGAACUGAGACACGGUCCAGACUCCUACGGGAGGCAGCAGUGGGGAAUAUUGCACAAGGGGGGAAAGCCUGAUGCAGCCAUGCCGCGGGUAUGAAGAAGGCCUUCGGGUUGUAAAGUACGUUCAGCGGGGAGGCGUUACCCGCAGAAGAAGCACCGGCUAACUCCGUGCCAGCAGCCGCGGUAAUAC
RNAcentral lists this ribosomal RNA (406 nucleotides) under uncultured bacterium. RNAcentral's name for it is "partial 16S ribosomal RNA". It matches the Rfam family "Bacterial small subunit ribosomal RNA", at positions 30 to 526 of the family's 1533-position model. The record is from RNAcentral.